RNAcentral lists this ribosomal RNA (494 nucleotides) under uncultured bacterium. RNAcentral describes it as "bacterial SSU rRNA". It matches the Rfam family "Bacterial small subunit ribosomal RNA", at positions 21 to 507 of the family's 1533-position model. The record is from RNAcentral.
GGCUCAGGAUGAACGCUAGCGGCAGGCUUAAUACAUGCAAGUCGUGGGGCAGCAUGAGUAGCAAUACUUGAUGGCGACCGGCGAACGGGUGAGGAACACGUACACAACCUUCCUUCGAAGCGGGGAAUAGCCCAGAGAAAUUUGGGUUAAUACCCCAUAAUAUAUUUGAUAAGGCAUCUUAUUAAUAUUAAAGCUUCGGCACUUGAUGAUGGGUGUGCGGCUGAUUAGAUAGUUGGCGGGGUAACGGCCCACCAAGUCUACGAUCAGUAGCUGAUGUGAGAGCAUGAUCAGCCACACGGGGCACUGAGACACGGGCCCGACUCCUACGGGAGGCAGCAGUAAGGAAUAUUGGACAAUGGACGAAAGUCUGAUCCAGCCAUGCCGCGUGAAGGAUUAAGGUCCUCUGGAUUGUAAACUUCUUUUAUAUGGGACGAAAAAAGGGCAUUCUUGUUCACUUGACGGUACCAUAUGAAUAAGCACCGGCUAACUCCGUG